This is an unclassified non-coding RNA of Papio anubis (olive baboon), 148 nucleotides long. It matches the Rfam family "Metazoan signal recognition particle RNA". Rfam says of the family: The signal recognition particle (SRP) is a universally conserved ribonucleoprotein. The record is from Ensembl. NCBI's taxonomy places the organism in Eukaryota, Metazoa, Chordata, Mammalia, Primates, Cercopithecidae.
GCCAGGUGUGGUGGUGCAGGCCUGUAGUCCCAGCUACUCAGGAGGCUGAGGCAGGAUGAUCGCUUGAGCCCAGGAGGUCGAGGCUGCAGUGAGCUCUGAUCGCACCUCUGCACUCCAGCCUGGGCAACAGGGUGAGACCCUGUCUCAA